AAGUCGUAACAAGGUUUCCGUAGGUGAACCUGCGGAAGGAUCAUUAAUGAAUGAAAUUGAGUGGGGUUGUAGCUGGCCUUUCACCGGGCAUGUGCACACCUCAUUCGACCACCUUCUUACACCCCUGUGCACUUCUCAUGAGUUGGGCCGCGUCUGAAACACGACAAAGUCCGGCUCGUGUGUUUUAUACAAACGAAUCAUGUUACAGAAUGUCACUACCAUGCUUUGAAGCAUAUAAUACAACUUUCAACAACGGAUCUCUUGGCUCUC
Molecule: unclassified non-coding RNA, 270 nt
Filed under: Steccherinum bourdotii
Lineage: Eukaryota; Fungi; Basidiomycota; Agaricomycetes; Polyporales; Steccherinaceae
Description: partial internal transcribed spacer region
Rfam family: Eukaryotic small subunit ribosomal RNA (bases 1-46)
Source: RNAcentral